Eptesicus fuscus (big brown bat) is the source of this 231-nucleotide long non-coding RNA. RefSeq lists it as uncharacterized. NCBI's taxonomy places the organism in Eukaryota, Metazoa, Chordata, Mammalia, Chiroptera, Vespertilionidae. The transcript is spliced from 4 exons. The record is from RefSeq and is a predicted model, not a curated record.
GGACUCUUUGCAAUUCAAGAGAUAUCUUCAUAUACACAUCAAGAGAUGUCUCUUCAUAUUGGAACUUAAAAAAGUGGCAGACAAAGUGCAAUAGAUGAGCAGAGAGGAGCAUAGAAGACUCGAAAGAAUAAGUGACCUUGGAUCUGGACCACAAAGAAAAGAUGUCCUCUGUUCCAGGUUUGUGGAGCAUUCCUAAGGGAUGAUUCUGCUCUGGUCCGCCACCAACCAAUC